AGCGCGGACCUCAGUCCCGGCUGGCCGUAUUACACCCUGGGCUAUAACACCUCCACCGAAGUGGAGGCCACAUUCCCAGAGCCUUUAUCCGGCCGCCGAAACUGAUGCUGGCCUGUCCAAACUGAGUAAACCGGUCAGAAGACCGGCCGAACAGUUUAAACAAGUCUGAUUGCAAGCGCUUCCCUUUCAACAAUUUCACGUGCUUUUUAACUCUCUUUCCAAAGUGCUUUUCAUCUUUCGAUCACUCUACUUGUGCGCUAUCGGUCUCUCGCCAAUAUUUAGCUUUAGAAGAAAUUUACCUCCCAUUUAGAGCUGCAUUCCCAAACAACUCGACUCGUCGAAGGAGAUUUACAUAGGGUGCCAUUUCCUGUCACAUACGGGAUUCUCACCCUCUAUGACGUCCUGUUCCAAGGAACUUAGACAGGCGGCUUCCCCAAAUCAUCCUCUACAAAUUACAAUGCGAACCCGAAGGCUAGCUUUCAAAUUUGAGCUGUUGCCGCUUCACUCGCCGUUACUAG
RNAcentral lists this ribosomal RNA (518 nucleotides) under Aureobasidium proteae. RNAcentral describes it as "partial 26S ribosomal RNA". The record is from RNAcentral. Lineage: Eukaryota; Fungi; Ascomycota; Dothideomycetes; Dothideales; Saccotheciaceae.